UGGCGAACGGGUGAGUAACACGUGGGCAACCUGCCCAAAANAGGGGGAUAACACUUGGAAACAGGUGCUAAUACCGCAUAACCAUAGUUACCGCAUGGUAACUAUGUAAAAGGUGGCUAUGCUACCGCUUUUGGAUGGGCCCGCGACGCAUUAGCUAGUUGGUGGGGUAAAGGCUUACCAAGGCAAUGAUGCGUAGCCGAACUGAGAGGUUGAUCGGCCACAUUGGGACUGAGACACGGCCCAAACUCCUACGGAAGGCAGCAG
Molecule: ribosomal RNA, 264 nt
Filed under: uncultured bacterium
Lineage: Bacteria
Description: partial 16S ribosomal RNA
Rfam family: Bacterial small subunit ribosomal RNA
Source: RNAcentral